Molecule: transfer RNA, 70 nt
Filed under: Dipodomys ordii (Ord's kangaroo rat)
Lineage: Eukaryota; Metazoa; Chordata; Mammalia; Rodentia; Heteromyidae
Rfam family: tRNA
About the family: Transfer RNA (tRNA) molecules are approximately 80 nucleotides in length. Their secondary structure includes four short double-helical elements and three loops (D, anti-codon, and T loops).
Source: Rfam by way of RNAcentral
GGUAAGGUGGCUCCAUGGUAGAGUGCUUGCCUUGCAUGCAUGAGGCCCUAGGUUCAAUUCCUCAGCACCA